RNAcentral lists this transfer RNA (77 nucleotides) under Fructobacillus durionis. Its description in RNAcentral is "tRNA_Arg_TCT". It matches the Rfam family "tRNA". From Rfam's summary of the family: Transfer RNA (tRNA) molecules are approximately 80 nucleotides in length. Their secondary structure includes four short double-helical elements and three loops (D, anti-codon, and T loops). Lineage: Bacteria; Bacillati; Bacillota; Bacilli; Lactobacillales; Lactobacillaceae. The record is from RNAcentral.
GCGCUGGUAGCUCAGCUGGAUAGAGCAGCCGGUUUCUACCCGGCAGGUCGAGGGUUCGACUCCCCCUCAGCGCACUA